AACGAACGCUGGCGGCAGGCCUAACACAUGCAAGUCGAACGCCGUAGCAAUACGGAGUGGCAGACGGGUGAGUAACACGUGGGAACAUACCCUUCGGUUCGGGAUAACUCAGGGAAACUUGAGCUAAUACCGGAUACGUCCGCGAGGAGAAAGAUUCAUCGCCGGAGGAUUGGCCCGCGUCUGAUUAGCUUGUUGGUGAGGUAAUGGCUCACCAAGGCGACGAUCAGUAGCGGUCUGAGAGGAUGAUCAGCCACAUUGGGACUGAGACACGGCCCAAACUCCUACGGGAGGCAGCAGUGGGGAAUAUUGGACAAUGGGCGCAAGCCUGAUCCAGCCAUGCCGCGUGAGUGAUGAA
This 355-nucleotide ribosomal RNA is filed under the name uncultured bacterium. RNAcentral's name for it is "bacterial SSU rRNA". It matches the Rfam family "Bacterial small subunit ribosomal RNA", at positions 29 to 412 of the family's 1533-position model. The record is from RNAcentral.